AAAUGGGGGCUCACCAGCUGCCCGUGGACGGAGUGGGAGGAGGCCCCCAGUCUCCAGGAGGCUCCAUGCCUCAGGCUCAGACCGGCAGCUCGGGAACCCAGCUAGCAGGAUGAACUCCAGCAGAGGAACUCAGCGCCAUUGCUGCGGCUGUGGGCCAGAAGAGAAAGAGAAAGAGAAAGAGAAUCCGCCUCGGUGUGACAAGCUGUGCCUCAGAACCCGAGCAGCAGGAGAGUGGGCAGCAGGGGGUGUCUGGCAGCAGAGAGGGGCUCAGGCCUGCUGGGUGGAGCGGCGCUGGGGGACACAGGUGGGCCCUGCGGGAGGCAGGAGCUGUCCAGGCAAAGCCGAGGGGAAGGGCCGGUAUGAAGGAGGCGCCCGAUGGGAGGGGCGAGUUCUCCCCCUGCACCAUUCCAGUCCACUCCGGGUUUCCUGUAGAAGGGGGAGCCCCCCAAAGUCCAUCUGUGUUUCCCCACCUCACUCACACACUCAGGGACCCUCGGCUGCUCCCCGGGGCGCUGACUGACAUUUUUGCCGAAUAAAGGGGCCCUGUGGGUUUCCUGUUCCCAUCUCAGCUUCUGCUGAACAGGGUAAACUUCCCUUCCGAAUAAAACCACCAGAAUGCGGUCUGGCCAAUUUCAGUCAUAGACCCACCAGGCCUGUGUCCCUGCGUGAGGGGGUGGGAAAAGCCCAGAGUGCCCCUACCCGUCCCCUGGGAGGGGUGGAAGGGCAGCUCUUGCUCCCCCUGCAGAGACGCUGCGCGGACUGGGAAGGCUGCCAGCCUCGCCCGGUCUCCCUGUGGACCCUGCCCUGACCCCACCCCAGCUUCCUGGCUCCCUGCACCCCACUGGGCUUCCCUGCCCCACAGAGCCUGGUGGUAGGGAGACCUCCGGAUGGAGACAGCCCACAGUCCCGGAGCCCCAAGGCAGGCACCAGUGAGUCCCUCGUGACGGCCUCGCUCCCUGCAUC
This 963-nucleotide long non-coding RNA is filed under the name Homo sapiens (human). RNAcentral's name for it is "non-protein coding TNFRSF14-AS1:19". Lineage: Eukaryota; Metazoa; Chordata; Mammalia; Primates; Hominidae. The record is from RNAcentral.